GAUGAACGCUGGCGGCGUGCCUAAUACAUGCAAGUCGAGCGAACGGACGAGAAGCUUGCUUCUCUGAUGUUAGCGGCGGACGGGUGAGUAACACGUGGAUAACCUACCUAUAAGACUGGGAUAACUUCGGGAAACCGGAGCUAAUACCGGAUAAUAUUUUGAACCGCAUGGUUCAAAAGUGAAAGACGGUCUUGCUGUCACUUAUUGAUGGAUCCGCGCUGCAUUAGCUAGUUGGUAAGGUAACGGCUUACCAAGGCAACGAUGCAUAGCCGACCUGCGAGGGUGAUCGGCCACACUGGAACUGAGACACGGUCCAGACUCCUACGGGAGGCAGCAGUAGGGAAUCUUCCGCAAUGGGCGAAAGCCUGACGGAGCAACGCCGCGUGAGUGAUGAAGGUCUUCGGAUCGUAAAACUCUGUUAUUAGGGAAGAACAUAUGUGUAAGUAACUGUGCACAUCUUGACGGUACCUAAUCAGAAAGCCACGGCUAACUACGUG
Molecule: ribosomal RNA, 497 nt
Filed under: uncultured bacterium
Lineage: Bacteria
Description: partial 16S ribosomal RNA
Rfam family: Bacterial small subunit ribosomal RNA
Source: RNAcentral